UACGGGGGGAGCAAGCGUUGUUCGGAUUUACUGGGCGUUAAAGGGCGCGUAGGCGGCGUGACAAGUCACUUGUGAAAUCUCCGGGCUUAACUCGGAACGGUCAAGUGAUACUGUCGUGACUAGAGUACAGAAGGGGCAACUGGAAUUCCCGGUGUAGUGGUGGAAUGCGUAGAUAGUCGGGAGGAACACCAGUGGCGAAGGCGGUUGCCCUGGAGCUUUGCGUGACGCUGAUGCGCGAAAGCGUGGGGAGCGAUCCG
This 257-nucleotide ribosomal RNA is filed under the name uncultured bacterium. RNAcentral's name for it is "partial 16S ribosomal RNA". It matches the Rfam family "Bacterial small subunit ribosomal RNA", at positions 524 to 775 of the family's 1533-position model. The record is from RNAcentral.